GUAGGAGCUGCCGAAGGCUGCGAUCUUUUGAUGUUGCCCUUGAAGAUCAACAGUAAAAGAUCGCAGCCUUCGGCAGCUCCUAC
RNAcentral lists this non-coding RNA (83 nucleotides) under Pseudomonas sp. 29. The record is from RNAcentral. Lineage: Bacteria; Pseudomonadati; Pseudomonadota; Gammaproteobacteria; Pseudomonadales; Pseudomonadaceae.